Molecule: long non-coding RNA, 1241 nt
Filed under: Salvator merianae (Argentine black and white tegu)
Lineage: Eukaryota; Metazoa; Chordata; Lepidosauria; Squamata; Teiidae
Description: lncRNA (ENSSMRG00000016917.1)
Source: RNAcentral
GAAAAACUACGGACGGCAAGAUCANGUCGGGACAGCGGGAACUGAAGACGGCCUGUAAACUGAUUAAAUGCCGUGUGGGAACGCGGCCAACGUCUCGCAAUCCCUGUUCUCCUAAGGGCGCGUCUUUGGGAAGAUUUCUGCAAAUAAACCUGGCCAGAGAGUUUACACGUGCGUCUUUCCUGCAUCCCAGAUAGGGAGAGGCAGUGGUAGGAAAAAACGUUCAGAAAAGAGAGCGAAAAAAACCAGAACACACCAUCUCCCUGCUGCUAAGCCUUUAUAAGGGCAAAACUUUGAAAACUACUGAACCGCUGGGAAGAAGGUUGGACGCAAAANCUUCGAGGUUCCUCCCGCUUCCUCCGCGCUUAUCAAGCCGCAGGAUCAAGGCUGGGGGGAGGGGGAAGUGAUCCGGAUUGCCCCCGAGUCUCUGGGUGGGCGUGAGCAAGGCGAGAGAAAGUCACUCCUGCAGGGUGGGUGUUAGGAGCCCCCCCCUCCCUCCCCGCAGCCAACCCCUCCGGCAGCCUCGCGCGCCCCUGGGAGAUCCCACCCGCUCCUCGUCGUUCCGCCCCGGGUGGGGGGCUCGCUUGGCUUUGUUCGGCGCCCGGAGGGAGGCGCCCCGCCGCCGCGAGCGCAAAGUUUGGAGAGGCUCCUUUGCGCAAGCGGGCGCCGCUUUUGCACAGACAGGGCGAGUGCGGCGGGGCGCGCGUCCUCCUCCUCCUCCUCCUCCUCCCGGCGUUGCAGGCUACGAGCAGCAGCGCGCUUGCUUGCUGGGCUUCCCCUCGGCUGCAGCCCGACCCGCGUUGCUGCCGGCGUUCCCGUCCGCUCCUUGCCUUCGUCUCCGUCCGCCGCUCUUCCCCGCGCGCGCUCCUCCGCUUCCCUGCCUGCCCAGGUGCGCGGUACCUUCUGGAGACGGGAGCAGCUCGCUCGCGCCGCGCGCCAGCCCGGGACGGAGCAGAAGCGAAGCGACGCCUAAAUCUGACGUCCUCCCAUAUCUAGCUUGAGGAGUUGCAGAAACUGCCCAGCAUGCUCCAGAGGUGAAGCUGGUAGAGCUCCAGUGUACGAGCCCUCUGUGUGGGAAAAGAAAAAUCNCAGGGGAAGCCAUCUGCCGCUGAGAACUACCCAUUUUUCCUGUCUGUGAAAGGUAUGGUGGAGUUGCUUGCGUGUGUCUGCUGGUUGCAGAAGUCUCCGUUUUAUCCUGUGAUUCCGUCCUACCGCCCCUGCCAGACGCCGGAGGCAACUGUGGG